GGGGACACGUGACCGUGCGGGGACAGACAUGGGGACACAGGCAUGGGGACGUGGGGCUGUGAGGGGACAGACGUGGGGACGUGGGAUGUGUGGGGACGGACAUGGGAUCUGUGGGGACACACGUGGGGACAUGGGGACAUGGGAUGUGUGGGGCCAGACAUGGGGACGGACAUGGGGCCGGACACAUGGGACACACAUGGGGACAUCUGGGGCCAUGGGAUGUGGGGACACGUGGGGAUGUGGGGGGCUGUGUGGGGACAGGCAUGGGGACAUGUGGGGAUGUGUGGGGCUGGGAGGGGACACGUGGGGACAUGGGAUGUGUGGGGACAGACAUGGGGACACGUGGGGACGUGGGAUCUGUGGGGACACACGUGGGGACAUGGGGACAUGGGAUGUGUGGGGCCAGACAUGGGGACGGACAUGGGGACACGUGGGGACAUGGGAUGCGUGGGGACACGUGGGGACAGACACAAGGGGACACAUGGGGAUGUGGGGGGACAUGGGGUGAUGUGUGGGGACACGCACAUGGGGACACAUGGGGACACGGGAUGCGUGGGGACAGACAUGGGGACAGACACGGGACACACGCAUGGGGACACAUGGGGUGAUGGGGUGUGUGGGGACGUGUGGGGACACGUGGGGAUGUGUGGGGUCAUGGGAUGUGUGGGGACACAUGGGUCACACCCAUGCACACAUUGCACACACACGCAAUGACACGCGUGUGCCUGACGUGCUGCCCCAUGUCCGGGCACACGUGGAUCUCACACACACACACGUGUGUUCACACACCAUGACACGCGUGUCCCCGACUCUUUCCCCCGUCUCAGGGCACACACGUGGAUCUCACACACACACACACAGGUGGUCACACACCAUGACACACGUGUCCCCACCACUCUCCCCCGUCUCAGGGCACAGACACACACACACACGCGUGUUCACACACAAUGACACACAUGUCCCUGACUCUUUCCCCCGUCUCAGGGCACACACACACACACACACACACACACACCAUGACACGCGUGUCCCCGACUCUUUCCCCCGUCUCAGGGCACACAGACACACACACGCGUGUUCACUCGCCAUGACACGCGUGUCCCCGCCGCUCUCCCCCAUCUCAGGGCACACACACACACACACUUGUUCACACGCCAUGACACGCGUGCCCCUGACUCUUUCUCCCAUCUCAGGGCACACACACACACGCACACGCCAUGACACGCGUGUCCCCGACUCUUUCCCCCGUCUCAGGGCACACACGUGGGUCUCACUUACACACACACACAUGGGUCUCACACACACACACAUGGGUCUCACUUACACACACACACGUGGGUCUCACUUACACGUGGGUCUCACUUACACACGUGGGUCUCACUUUCACACACACAUGUGUAUCUCACUUUCACACACACGUGGGUCUCACUUUCACACACACACGUGGGUCUCACUUUCACACACACACGUGGGUCUCACUUUCACACACACGUGGGUCUCACUUUCACACACGUGGGUCUCACUUUCACACACACAUGUGUAUCUCACUUUCACACACACACGUGGGUGUCACUUUCACACACACAUGUGGGUCUCACACACGUGGGUCUCACUUUCACACACACAUGUGGGUCUCACACACACGUGGGUCUCACACACGUGA
This 1663-nucleotide long non-coding RNA is filed under the name Numida meleagris (helmeted guineafowl). Its description in RNAcentral is "lncRNA (ENSNMEG00000002559.1)". Lineage: Eukaryota; Metazoa; Chordata; Aves; Galliformes; Numididae. The record is from RNAcentral.